Molecule: long non-coding RNA, 2054 nt
Organism: Homo sapiens (human)
Lineage: Eukaryota; Metazoa; Chordata; Mammalia; Primates; Hominidae
Source: Ensembl
AAUAUCAGAAAGGAUGCUGAUGAGAAGAAUUACAUGGAUGCAGACCCAUUUCUUAAGUUUGUGGACUACUCUCAUAGGUUAUUACCCGGCAGUGCAGCUGAGUGGAAAGAUAACCACAUUCAUUCUCCUUAUCUGCAAUGAUGUAAUGCAUCCUAGCCCUGGGUCUAGAUGAUUGGGGAAUAAUGGGAUUGUACAACUGCAGGGAUGACAAACAAUAGUGCAGCGUCUUUCUCUGAUACACUGAACCCCACGCCUCCAACGCAAGGUGAAAGGCAUCACAAAAUAGGCACUGAGUCUGCCCCUUGGAUGAAGUUAGCAUUUUUUGGCCCGAGGAGCAUCUGCUCUGGCACUGAAACAGCAAUACCGACACGGAGACGAGAGCCAUGCAAAAACACUCAGUUUCCGAGCCCCAGCCAGGACAGUGCGAGUGAGUAUCCUGCUUUUCUUUGUGGUUAGAAUCAAGUGUCAUCUAAAAAUAACCGGUUGGUAGGAAGAAGUCACUGCAUAGUACAAUGCCAAGAAACCCGGGGAUCAGAGAGUCCUCCGAUAACUGAUGCUGCUCGGGGCUCACGUUUGUUUGGAAAACUAAAUCUGCCUCCAUUUUCUGUGCCGGAAAAAUCAUCGCUUCCUGCCACCACAGAAACCUUACCUUUUGCAGAAGCUGGGAACCGGAGUACUUAGCAGCAAUGGAUUUUAUCUCCCCACCAAAAGCCGAGGCCCAGAGCUUCACCCUACAGGGAGAAGGGGCACAGGAAGAUAUGUAACACCCGUGUCACAGUCAACACGCACGCACACGCACACGCACACAUGGGACUAUGGCUGAAGGAGCAGUGCGAUGUAACAUGUUUUAAAAGAAGAAAAGAUAGAAAAAGCGGCUUGGUAGAAACUGCCAGCACCAAAACUGCAAAGCGCAGCGCGGGAGGGGGCCCGAGGGGGGUCGCGGAGUUAAGAAUGCGCAAAGUCUCCCAGGCUCUCUAAAAAGACCACUGAGUUUCAUUCGAACCACUGCCCGAGGACUCGACCCCCCAAACUGGGCAUCACCUGGCAAAUAGCAGUCAGAAGAAAUCCACCCAUCCCCCCCCCAAAAAAAGAAGUGGGGCGGCAGUAGAGCAAAGAGGGGGGAAAUUCAGCGGCCCAUGGAAGUUGGAUUCGGUAACCAGGCUCCAAAGUUGGUGCCGUCACUUGAGGCAUCCAUAAGGAAGCCCAUUGACCUAAUUGCUGCCAUCAACCCAGGGACAAAGCCAAUCGGGUGGACAGCGGAGAGGCAAUAUGGGAAGGACCUUGGUCCUUGAAGAUAUUGUGCCACUAUAUCAAGCAACCGCUGAAGCCUGAAUUACCUCUGGAUGCCUAAUAACGUGGAACAAUAAAUUUCCUUAUUGUUUAAUUUGAGUCAGGAUUUAUGAUACUUGCUUCCAAUAGCAUCCCAUAGGGCACGUCCUUGUGGGUAAGGGUUGUUGUUGCUUUUAUUCCAAGAAGAACAGUCUUCUGAAAUUUGGGAGGAAGUUGCAUAAUUCUAAGAAAAAGGUUAUAAAACAGGGCCUGGUACAUUCCUCAUCACCACCACCACCCAAAAAAUGUUAAAUGAAAAAUGUAGAAAAUGAAAUUCCCUGCAUAUGAUCCCAACUGUACACACACACACACACACACACACACACACACACACAUACACACACACACAUUUUUAAAAAGACUGGUAAGAAAAACACUAAGUUAAGUGAUUGCUCUUAGGUAGUAAGAUUAUUACUAGUUAUUAUUUUUUAACCUCUGCUUUAUUUGGUUUGGUUCUUUAUAUUCUUCAGUACUUCCUGAUUUUCCUACAGUGAACAUGCUUUACUUUUUUAAUAGAUAUCAAAGACAAUAAUUGUUUUCUAUCUAAAUUUAUACUACCUAUCACAAAGGAAGUCACUUUGACUUUUUAAAAACAUAAUGGCCAAAUGAAAGCAAAAAAGUAGCAUAUUUGGUGCAAUCUAUUGGUGAAAGAAAAACAUUUCCAGUUUUUAUGUACUGUAUCCAGAGACUUAAAGAUUUAUGAUUGGUCAUGUAGUAGAAUAAAA